AUUGAACGCUGGCGGCAGGCCUAACACAUGCAAGUCGAGCGGAUGAAGGGAGCUUGCUCCUGGAUUCAGCGGCGGACGGGUGAGUAAUGCCUAGGAAUCUGCCUGGUAGUGGGGGAUAACGUCCGGAAACGGGCGCUAAUACCGCAUACGUCCUGAGGGAGAAAGUGGGGGAUCUUCGGACCUCACGCUAUCAGAUGAGCCUAGGUCGGAUUAGCUAGUUGGUGGGGUAAAGGCCUACCAAGGCGACGAUCCGUAACUGGUCUGAGAGGAUGAUCAGUCACACUGGAACUGGGACACGAUCCAGACUCCUACGGGAGGCAGCAGUGGGGAAUAUUGGACAAUGGGCGAAAGCCUGAUCCAGCCAUGCCGCGUGUGUGAAGAAGGUCUUCGGAUUGUAAAGCACUUUAAGUUGGGAGGAAGGGCAGUAAGUUAAUACCCUGCUGUUUUGACGUUACCAACAGAAUAAGCACCGGCUAACUUCGUG
This 484-nucleotide ribosomal RNA is filed under the name uncultured bacterium. Its description in RNAcentral is "partial 16S ribosomal RNA". It matches the Rfam family "Bacterial small subunit ribosomal RNA", at positions 30 to 507 of the family's 1533-position model. The record is from RNAcentral.